GCACCCGUAGCUCAACUGGAUAGAGCAGCGGUCUUCGGAACCGCAGGUUACAGGUUCGACUCCUGUCGGGUGUA
RNAcentral lists this transfer RNA (74 nucleotides) under Gemmata sp. RNAcentral describes it as "tRNA-Arg". It matches the Rfam family "tRNA". From Rfam's summary of the family: Transfer RNA (tRNA) molecules are approximately 80 nucleotides in length. Their secondary structure includes four short double-helical elements and three loops (D, anti-codon, and T loops). RNAcentral also lists the same sequence under 4 other names. The record is from RNAcentral. Lineage: Bacteria; Pseudomonadati; Planctomycetota; Planctomycetia; Gemmatales; Gemmataceae.